AACGAACGCUGGCGGCAUGCCUAACACAUGCAAGUCGAACGAAAACGUCGGGCCUAUUGGCGCUGGGCUGGGGACGGACGGGGGAGUAACACUUGGGUUAGGAACAACUCCCUGAAAGGGGUGCUCAUACCGGAGAGGCUCAUACGACCUAAGAUCUAUUGCCGUGGGAUGGGGGCGGGUUGGUUUCGGCGGUUGGUAGGGUAAUAGCCGACCAAGGCGACGAUCCAGAGCUGGUCGGUGAGGAGGACCAGCCACGCUGGGACUGAGACGCGGCCCAGACUGCUACGGGAGGGAGGAGUGGGGAAUACAGGACGAUGGGCGCAAGCCUGAUCCAGCCAUGCCGGGUGAGUGAUGCAGGCCGUAGGGUUGUGAAGCUCUUUUAGACGGGGUGAUAAUGACGGUACCGGGAGAAUAAGCACCGGCUAACUCCGUG
RNAcentral lists this ribosomal RNA (433 nucleotides) under uncultured bacterium. Its description in RNAcentral is "partial 16S ribosomal RNA". It matches the Rfam family "Bacterial small subunit ribosomal RNA", at positions 28 to 507 of the family's 1533-position model. The record is from RNAcentral.